AAGAUGGGCCUGCGUCUGAUUAGCUAGUUGGUGGGGUAACGGCUCACCAAGGCGAUGAUCAGUAGCCGGACUGAGAGGUUGAUCGGCCACAUUGGGACUGAGACACGGCCCAGACUCCUACGGGAGGCAGCAGUGGGGGAUAUUGCACAAUGGAGGAAACUCUGAUGCAGCGACGCCGCGUGAGGGAAGAAGGUUUUCGGAUUGUAAACCUCUGUCUUCGGGGACGAAACAAAUGACGGUACUCGAGGAGGAAGCCACGGCUAACUACGUGCCAGCAGCCGCGGUAAUACGUAGGUGGCAAGCGUUGUCCGGAAUUACUGGGUGUAAAGGGAGCGCAGGCGGAACUGCAAGUUGGGUGUUUAAUCUACGGGCUCAACCCGUAUCAGCAUUCAAAACUGUGGUUCUUGAGUAAUGCAGAGGUAGGCGGAAUUCCCGGUGUAGCGGUGGAAUGCGUAGAUAUCGGGAGGAACACCAGUGGCGAAGGCGGCCUACUGGGCAUCAACUGACGCUGAGGCUCGAAAGCAUGGGUAGCAAACAGGAUUAGAUACCCUGGUAGUCCAUGCUGUAAACGAUGAUUACUAGGUGUGGGAAGAUUGACCCUUUCCGUGCCGCAGUUAACACAAUAAGUAAUCCACCUGGGGAGUACGACCGCAAGGUUGAAACUCAAAGGAAUUGACGGGGGCCCGCACAAGCAGUGGAGUAUGUGGUUUAAUUCGAAGCAACGCGAAGAACCUUACCAGGUCUUGACAUCCAACGACCGCCUAAGAGAUUAGGCUUUCCUUCGGGACGUUGAGACAGGUGGUGCAUGGUUGUCGUCAGCUCGUGUCGUGAGAUGUUGGGUUAAGUCCCGCAACGAGCGCAACCCUUGUCAUCAGUUGCUACGCAAGAGCACUCUGAUGAGACCG
This 905-nucleotide ribosomal RNA is filed under the name uncultured bacterium. RNAcentral describes it as "bacterial SSU rRNA". It matches the Rfam family "Bacterial small subunit ribosomal RNA", at positions 222 to 1151 of the family's 1533-position model. The record is from RNAcentral.